Molecule: ribosomal RNA, 215 nt
Filed under: uncultured fungus
Lineage: Eukaryota; Fungi
Description: partial small subunit ribosomal RNA
Rfam family: Eukaryotic small subunit ribosomal RNA (bases 91-215)
Source: RNAcentral
GGCCCGGUUGGACGGUCUGCCCUCGGGCAUGUACUGUCCUGACUGGGUCUUCCCUUCUGGUGAGCUGUCGUGUUGUUUACUCAGUGCGGCAGGGAACCAGGACUUUUACUUUGAAAAAAUUAGAGUGUUUAAAGCAGGCAUUCGCUUGAAUACAUUAGCAUGGAAUAAUAAUUUAGGACUUUGCUCCUAUUUUAUUGGUUUCUAGGGGUGAAGUA